AAACGAUGCCGAUGUCGUGGUGCCGAAAAAUGGCGACGCGAAAGAGAAAUCGAGUAGGGCCCUGGGGAGAGUACACGCGCAAGCGAGAAAUUUAAAGGAAAUUGACGGAAGAACACCACAAGGAGUGGAGUGUGCGGCUUAAUUUGACUCAACGCGGGACAACUUACCGGGCCCGACGACCGUAAGAGUGUGACACACGAUAGGUCGAAGAGUGGUGCAUGGCCGUUAACGACGAGUGGAGUGAUCUUUGGGUUAAGUCCGUAAAUUAGUGAGACCUCAGCCGUAAGGGACAGGUGCGCAAAGCACAGGAAGGAUGGGUCAAGGACAGGUCAGUGAUGCCCUUAGAUGGUCCGGGCUGCACGCGCACUACAGUGGUCGCCGAAAUUAGCUGAUAAUUUUAAAGGCGAUCGAGAGGGAAUGAGCUUUGUAAGAGGCUCAGGAACGAGGAAUUGCUAGUAAUCGCGGACUCAUUAAGACGCGAUGAAUACGUCCCUGUUCUUUGUACACACCGCCCGUCGUUAUCGAAGAUGAAGACAGGCGCGAACGAUCUACCAGAAAGUGAGCGCAGGUCUUUAGAUCUGAUACAAGUCGUAACAAGGUAGCUGUAGGUGAACCUGUAGCUGG
This 624-nucleotide ribosomal RNA is filed under the name Loma morhua. RNAcentral describes it as "SSU rRNA". It matches the Rfam family "Microsporidia small subunit ribosomal RNA", at positions 687 to 1304 of the family's 1311-position model. Lineage: Eukaryota; Fungi; Microsporidia; Glugeidae. The record is from RNAcentral. RNAcentral also lists the same sequence under 2 other names.